This 582-nucleotide long non-coding RNA is filed under the name Homo sapiens (human). RNAcentral's name for it is "HSALNT0093972". The record is from RNAcentral. Lineage: Eukaryota; Metazoa; Chordata; Mammalia; Primates; Hominidae.
GAAAGUCAGGAAUUGUUUCCCUGGGGACCAAUAGUGUCUACAGAGCUCUUCCUGCUGCUUCUUGUACCCCUACAUUUCGCUCAGCUCUCUAAAUUCAUCUCAACUCCAGAAGCCUUAUGGAAAGAUUCCUGUGGCUGACCCAGGAGUAGUGGUGAAUUUCUCCAUCAAAAUCUAGGCUGCAGGAGCAGAUCUGAAAAGGACAUGCCAUUCUUUUGCAACAGAAAAAUACCAGACUAAGGCACUCGAGAUUCUCAAAACUUCUGAUUGAAUGUGGUAUAUUUCAUGUUUACUCACUGCCCAUUAGCCAAAGCAAGUCACAUGGCCAAGCCUAAUAUCAAAGGGGUUGGGACAUAAGCUCCCCCUAUAAGAUGGUGCUUUAUGUCACAUGGCAACAGAGAGGGUAGAGAAUAACUGAAAAUGAUGGCACUAUGUACUACAGUAACUCUAUCCUGUUGCUCUGACAAGAUAAGAUCAAAACGUACUGAGCUCAUCUAAGUGUUAGAGAUACUAUAAGGAAUAAAGCUAUCCUUUUUUUAUGAAACUUAAACUCAGGUUGUGAUUCACCUAUUUCACUGCUCUUCU